This 253-nucleotide ribosomal RNA is filed under the name uncultured bacterium. Its description in RNAcentral is "partial 16S ribosomal RNA". It matches the Rfam family "Bacterial small subunit ribosomal RNA", at positions 524 to 776 of the family's 1533-position model. The record is from RNAcentral.
UACGAAGGGGGCUAGCGUUGCUCGGAAUCACUGGGCGUAAAGCGCACGUAGGCGGCUCUUUAAGUCAGGGGUGAAAUCCUGGAGCUCAACUCCAGAACUGCCUUUGUUACUGGGGAUCUCGAGUCCGGAAGAGGUGAGUGGAACUCCGAGUGUAGAGGUGAAAUUCGUAGAUAUUCGGAAGAACACCAGUGGCGAAGGCGGCUCACUGGUCCGGUACUGACGCUGAGGUGCGAAAGCGUGGGGAGCAAACAGG